CCUACGGGGGGCAGCAGUGGGGAAUAUUGCUCAAUGGGCGGAACCCUGAUGCAGCGACGCCGCGUGGGUGAAGGAGCGUUUCGGCGCGUAAAGCCCUAUCGGCAGGGAAGAAGAUGACGGUACCUGACCAAGAAGCCCCGGCUAAAUACGUGCCAGCAGCCGCGGUAAUACGUAGGGGGCAAGCGUUAUCCGGAUUUACUGGGUGGAAAGGGGGCGCAGACGGGAAUGCAAGCCAGGAGUGAAAGCCCGGGGCCCAACCCCGGGACUGCUCUUGGAACUGCAUGGCUGGAGUACAGGAGAGGCAGGCGGAAUUCCUGGUGUAGCGGUGAAAUGCGUAGAUAUUAGGAGGAACACCGGUGGCGAAGGCGGCCUGCUGGACUGUGACUGACGUUGAGGCCCGAAGGCGUGGGGAGCAAACAGGAUUAGAUACCCCAGUAGUC
RNAcentral lists this ribosomal RNA (440 nucleotides) under uncultured bacterium. RNAcentral describes it as "partial 16S ribosomal RNA". It matches the Rfam family "Bacterial small subunit ribosomal RNA", at positions 338 to 795 of the family's 1533-position model. The record is from RNAcentral.